This 440-nucleotide ribosomal RNA is filed under the name uncultured bacterium. RNAcentral's name for it is "partial 16S ribosomal RNA". It matches the Rfam family "Bacterial small subunit ribosomal RNA", at positions 338 to 795 of the family's 1533-position model. The record is from RNAcentral.
CCUACGGGGGGCAGCAGUGGGGGAUAUUGCACAAUGGGGGGAACCCUGAUGCAGCGACGCCGCGUGUGGGAAGACGGUCCUCCGGAUUGUAAACCACUGUCCCCAGGGACGAAAAUGACGGUACCUGGGGAGGAAGCUCCGGCUAACUACGUGCCAGCAGCCGCGGUAAUACGUAGGGAGCGAGCGUUGUCCGGAAUUACUGGGUGUAAAGGGAGCGUAGGCGGGGAUGCAAGUUGGGUGUCAAAACUACCGGCUCAACUGGUAGUCGCACUCAAAACUGCAGCUCUUGAGUGAAGUAGAGGCAGGCGGAAUUCCUAGUGUAGCGGUGAAAUGCGUAGAUAUUAGGAGGAACACCAGUGGCGAAGGCGGCCUGCUGGGCUUUUACUGACGCUGAGGCUCGAAAGUGUGGGGAGCAAACAGGAUUAGAUACCCCUGUAGUC